AUGCUCUGGUUUCUCUUCAUAUCUAAUAAGUCUUUUACCUUUCACUAAAGAUUUCUGUGGAGAACAACUCUAAGUCUUAACUCAAGUAUUUGAGGUCUUUUAAGAGCAGGGAUA
Small nuclear RNA from Nannospalax galili (Upper Galilee mountains blind mole rat), 114 nucleotides. Its record names the gene U5. It matches the Rfam family "U5 spliceosomal RNA". From Rfam's summary of the family: U5 RNA is a component of both types of known spliceosome. NCBI's taxonomy places the organism in Eukaryota, Metazoa, Chordata, Mammalia, Rodentia, Spalacidae. The record is from Ensembl.